GCCAGACUCCUACGGGAGGCAGCAGUGGGGGAUAUUGCACAAUGGGGGGAACCCUGAUGCAGCGACGCCGCGUGGGUGAUGGAGUAUUUCGGUAUGUAAAGCCCUCUCGGCAGGGAAGAAGCAAGACGGUACCUGACUAAGAAGCCCCGGCUAACUACGUGCCAGCAGCCGCGGGAAUACGUAGGGGGCGAGCGUUAUCCGGAUCCACUGGGUGUAAAGGGAGCGUAGACGGCCAUGCAAGCCAGGGGGGAAAGCCCGGGGGCCAACCCCGGGACUGCCCUUGGAACUGUGCGGCUAGAGUGCGGGAGGGGCAGGCGGAAUUCCUGGUGUAGCGGUGAAAUGCGUAGAUAUCGGGAAGAACACCGAUGGCGAAGGCAGCUCUCUGGGCCGUCACUGACGCUGAGGCGCGAAAGCUGGGGGAGCGAACAGGAUUAGAUACCCCCGUAAUU
This 449-nucleotide ribosomal RNA is filed under the name uncultured bacterium. Its description in RNAcentral is "partial 16S ribosomal RNA". It matches the Rfam family "Bacterial small subunit ribosomal RNA", at positions 330 to 795 of the family's 1533-position model. The record is from RNAcentral.